GAGGGUAUAACUCAGUGGUAGAGCACAUGCUUAGCAUGCACAAGGUCCUGGGUUCAAUCCUCAGUGCCUCUA
Molecule: transfer RNA, 72 nt
Organism: Camelus ferus (Wild Bactrian camel)
Lineage: Eukaryota; Metazoa; Chordata; Mammalia; Artiodactyla; Camelidae
Rfam family: tRNA
About the family: Transfer RNA (tRNA) molecules are approximately 80 nucleotides in length. Their secondary structure includes four short double-helical elements and three loops (D, anti-codon, and T loops).
Source: Rfam